Long non-coding RNA from Panonychus citri (citrus red mite), 1286 nucleotides. RefSeq lists it as uncharacterized. The transcript has 3 exons. NCBI's taxonomy places the organism in Eukaryota, Metazoa, Arthropoda, Arachnida, Trombidiformes, Tetranychidae. The record is from RefSeq and is a predicted model, not a curated record.
CGAGCCUUUGUCGAUGAUUAUAACAACAAUUCAUUACUGAUUGGGAUUAUCGGUGAUUAUGAUGACCCAUACGGAGCUUUGCCGCGAUCGUUGGACAUAAUUUAUAAAUUAAUCCGAUGUGGCCAAGAAAAGGGAUAUAUCACUGAAAAUAUAACCAUUUAUGAACCAGUGGCUGAUUAUUGUCAAAAAGGACCAGGAAAAAGAUUUGGACCAGAGAUUUUGAGAAAUGGAUUGAAAAUAUUUUCUUCUAAUUCAAAUGACAAUAAUCUUGUUUGAUUGAAUAUAUUUGUUGAUUAUUAAACCACAAUUUAGACAAUUGUGGUUAAUUUACUACUCAUCAUGUCUUUUUACGAGGUUCACGGGAUCGUGUUGCGUUGACCAUUCGUUGACUUUUACUAGGUGAGUACAUUGCUUUCAGCUUCAGAAAAGUUUUCGCCAUCUCCACAAGUAUAACUUCAGGUCCAAUCAAAGGUUCCAACCUGAUGAAUAAAAAAUCCAGCAAAUCAUGGCCACUGGUCACUAGAAAUAAGGAUAAAAUUUACUCAUCAAGAUUGAUAAGCAUCACAGCAAGACCUAUUGGUCUUACAACAUGUUCGAGCUGCAUAAGGAAUAGAACCACAAAUAAGACUAAAGCAAAGAAACAUUGGAGUCGAUGAAUGGACUUGAAUCGAUGAAAACAACAAAAACAUUAAUAGAAACCCUCUGAAUAUCAUUGCAGGUUUACUAGUUAUCUAUGAGCAGCGUCUUAUUAACAAAAGAGACCAACAAUCUAACAUUAUCCAUCCCCAUUAACGCCACGAUAAAGCAGCCAUAGGAUCCCUCAUGUCCCUCCACUCUUCAAAGACUCGAUAACAACAACUUAUCGGUAAGACUCAAGAGUUAAUUUCAAAAGCACAGUGGAAGCUACAGAAAAAGUUGACGGAAAAGCACUUUAACCUUACCUUACAUGCUCAGAAUCAAUUUCUUUUAUUAGAGUAGAUAACAGUUCUCCCUGUAACAUGGCUCCUGGGUCUAUGUUGAAUGGUAUCACUAGUAACGUGUAAUACUUGUCUAGAUGGGGCAUUACCAAUUGAAUAGACGUGGUGCUUGGGUGAUGAUGUUCCUUCAGGAAAUAUGUCGGGGUCAUUUAGAUGUUCUUGUAAAUCCAAAUAAAGUACAUCAGUAGAUUGGUCUUGAGGUGGCUGUUUCACUAAUGAUGAUGUUGGCUGUUGGAUAUUGGAUUUUGAACUCAUAGUUAUGAAAAUAAUAACUAACCAAAUGAAAAGAGAGCAGACAAUGUCACAGUG